GACGAACGCUGGCGGCGUGCUUAACACAUGCAAGUCGAACGGAAAGGCCCUUCUCUUGUGGGGUGCUCGAGUGGCGAACGGGUGAGUAACACGUGAGUAACCUGCCCUUGACUUUGGGAUAACUUCAGGAAACUGGGGCUAAUACCGGAUAGGAGCUUCUGCUGCCUGGUGGGGGUUGGAAAGUUUGGGCGGUUGGGGAUGGAGCCGCGGGUUGUCUGCCUGGUGGUGGGGUAGUGGCUUACCAAGGCUUUGACGGAUAGGGGGCCUGAGAGGGUGACCGGCCACAUGGGGACGGAUAUUCGGCCCAGACUCCGAAGGGAGGCAGCGGUGAGGGUUGUUACACUGUGGGCGGAAGCCUGAUGGAAGAACGCCGCGUUCGGGAGGACGGACUUCGGUUUGUAUGCCGCUUAAACCUGUGACGAAGCGUGAGUGAAGGUAAUGGGUGAAGAAGCAACGGCUAACUACGUG
Molecule: ribosomal RNA, 468 nt
Filed under: uncultured bacterium
Lineage: Bacteria
Description: partial 16S ribosomal RNA
Rfam family: Bacterial small subunit ribosomal RNA
Source: RNAcentral